RNAcentral lists this transfer RNA (75 nucleotides) under Meiothermus granaticius NBRC 107808. Its description in RNAcentral is "tRNA-Ala". It matches the Rfam family "tRNA". From Rfam's summary of the family: Transfer RNA (tRNA) molecules are approximately 80 nucleotides in length. Their secondary structure includes four short double-helical elements and three loops (D, anti-codon, and T loops). Further hydrogen bonds mediate the characteristic L-shaped molecular structure. tRNAs have two regions of fundamental functional importance: the anti-codon, which is responsible for specific mRNA codon recognition, and the 3' end, to which the tRNAs corresponding amino acid is attached (by aminoacyl-tRNA synthetases). tRNAs cope with the degeneracy of the genetic code in two manners: having more than one tRNA (with a specific anti-codon) for a particular amino acid; and 'wobble' base-pairing, i.e. permitting non-standard base-pairing at the 3rd anti-codon position. Lineage: Bacteria; Thermotogati; Deinococcota; Deinococci; Thermales; Thermaceae. The record is from RNAcentral. RNAcentral also lists the same sequence under 2 other names.
GGGGCCAUAGCUCAGCGGGAGAGCAGCGCCUUUGCAAGGCGAAGGUCGGGGGUUCAAAUCCCUCUGGCUCCACCA